This 253-nucleotide ribosomal RNA is filed under the name uncultured bacterium. RNAcentral describes it as "partial 16S ribosomal RNA". It matches the Rfam family "Bacterial small subunit ribosomal RNA", at positions 524 to 776 of the family's 1533-position model. The record is from RNAcentral.
UACAGAGGUCCCAAGCGUUGUUCGGAUUCACUGGGCGUAAAGGGUGCGUAGGCGGUCGGGUAAGCCUGAUGUGAAAUCUCCAAGCCUAACUUGGAAACUGCAUUGGAUACUAUCCGGCUAGAGGAAUGGAGGGGAGACUGGAAUACUUGGUGUAGCAGUGAAAUGCGUAGAUAUCAAGUGGAACACCAGUGGCGAAGGCGAGUCUCUGGACAUUUCCUGACGCUGAGGCACGAAAGCCAGGGGAGCAAACGGG